UACGUAGGGGGCAAGCGUUGUCCGGAAUCAUUGGGCGUAAAGAGCGUGUAGGCGGUCCGGUCAGUCGGUUGUGAAAGUCAAGGGCUCAACCCUUGAAUGCCGGCCGAUACUGCCGGGCUAGAGUCCGGAAGAGGUGAGUGGAAUUCCUGGUGUAGCGGUGAAAUGCGUAGAUAUCUGGAGGAACACCGGUGGCGAAGGCGGCAUCCUGGACCAACACUGACGCUGAGGAGCGAAAGCCAGGGGAGCAAACGGG
RNAcentral lists this ribosomal RNA (253 nucleotides) under uncultured bacterium. Its description in RNAcentral is "partial 16S ribosomal RNA". It matches the Rfam family "Bacterial small subunit ribosomal RNA", at positions 524 to 776 of the family's 1533-position model. The record is from RNAcentral.